UAUAGUUUUAGUACAAUAGUACCUAUACCUACUUUAACAUUCCGAACUUAGAAUCAAUAUUUCUACUUAGUCGCGGGGAAGUUACAUUAUGAAAUAAGUUUUCAUCCCAAAAUGUAAUCAUUAUAAUUGAACUAUUUAUAAUGGUAUGAAUAUAGAAUUUCCAUUGUACAAUUCAGCGCGUCACUGUAUUUGUACAGGGUGCUUGCUUUAUUACGACCAGCGAUUUGCUGGUGUUUUACUUCAAGUGACAA
This is a non-coding RNA of Cinara cedri, 251 nucleotides long. Lineage: Eukaryota; Metazoa; Arthropoda; Insecta; Hemiptera; Aphididae. The record is from the annotation of a GenBank genome assembly.